GAUGAACGCUGGCGGCGUGCCUAAUACAUGCAAGUCGAGCGAACAGACGAGGAGCUUGCUCCUCUGACGUUAGCGGCGGACGGGUGAGUAACACGUGGAUAACCUACCUAUAAGACUGGGAUAACUUCGGGAAACCGGAGCUAAUACCGGAUAAUAUAUUGAACCGCAUGGUUCAAUAGUGAAAGACGGUUUUGCUGUCACUUAUAGAUGGUUCCGCGCCGCAUUAGCUAGUUGGUAAGGUAACGGCUUACCAAGGCGACGAUGCGUAGCCGACCUGAGAGGGGGAUCGGCCACACUGGAACGGAGACACGGUACAGACUACUACGGGAGGCAGCAGUAGGGAAUGUUCCGCAAUGGGCGAAAGCAUGACGGAGCAACGCCGCGUGAGUGAUGAAGGUCUUCGGAUCGUAAAACUCUGUUAUGAGGGAAGAAAAAAUGUGUAAGUAACUAUGCACGUCGUGACGGUACCGAAUCAGAAAGCCACGGCUAACUACGUG
This 497-nucleotide ribosomal RNA is filed under the name uncultured bacterium. RNAcentral's name for it is "partial 16S ribosomal RNA". It matches the Rfam family "Bacterial small subunit ribosomal RNA", at positions 28 to 507 of the family's 1533-position model. The record is from RNAcentral.